Molecule: long non-coding RNA, 216 nt
Organism: Octopus sinensis (East Asian common octopus)
Lineage: Eukaryota; Metazoa; Mollusca; Cephalopoda; Octopoda; Octopodidae
Exons: 3
Source: RefSeq, a predicted model, not a curated record
AAUUGUUUUUCUGGUUUUUAGUCUGAUACGGAUUUCAAGUGGGAUGAUUUAUCAAAUGAGACGCUUGACGAGCUGUCUGAGCUAUUGAGUAUGGAGCGGUCUGAACUUGAAGAGACAGUGCAUGAAAGCAAAUGCGAUGAAAUCUCUGCCAUGUUCAACAUGGUAAUGGAUAAGAAACGCCUUGCUAAAGGUAUAUUCGAUCAGGAUCACACUGCU